UACGAAGGGGGCUAGCGUUGUUCGGAAUUACUGGGCGUAAAGCGCGCGCAGGCGGCUAUCCAAGUCAGUGGUGAAAGCCCGGAGCUCAACUCCGGAACUGCCAUUGAAACUGUUUAGCUUGAGGAUGAGAGAGGUGAGUGGAAUUCCCAGUGUAGAGGUGAAAUUCGUAGAUAUUGGGAAGAACACCGGUGGCGAAGGCGGCUCACAGGCUCAUUACUGACGCUCAGGCGCGAUAGCGUGGGGAUCAAACAGG
This 253-nucleotide ribosomal RNA is filed under the name uncultured bacterium. Its description in RNAcentral is "partial 16S ribosomal RNA". It matches the Rfam family "Bacterial small subunit ribosomal RNA", at positions 524 to 776 of the family's 1533-position model. The record is from RNAcentral.